Molecule: long non-coding RNA, 1264 nt
Organism: Cyprinus carpio (common carp)
Lineage: Eukaryota; Metazoa; Chordata; Actinopteri; Cypriniformes; Cyprinidae
Source: Ensembl
AGCAGACAAGGGCUAAACAAGGGGGCGUGACCAAGGGAAACCAGGAGGUGGGACGAGAGGAGCAUGUGGCAGACACAAACAGAGACAGAACCAUGUGCUUAGACACAAAACAAACAGUGAAACAUUGAACAAAGACAAGACUGUCAGGGCAGGUUCCUGACAUGCUGCGACUUGUAUCAGAAGUGUCCCAGAAGCAGCUCUCCGUGCUAAUUCGCUAAUAGUCUUUUGUGAGUUGGCGUGGAGGACGGAACAAAAUCUCAUCAGAGCCGUAAGGGGUAACAGUAACAUAAUAUGCUGAUCGUGGGCUGCUUUUAAAUGAACAUUUAUUUAUAAAACAAAAAAAUAUUUUUUUGCCAGCUUACUCAGCCUUUUCUCAUGUUUAUACAUAAGUAUUAAUACGUAAUAUUUACAAGCACAAAACAUACAUUUUUGUACAUUUUUACUGAUGCUAAAAUUUACCAUUUAGACAUUUUUCAACAUUUAAAAUGUACAAAUCACUAUGUAUAUUUUUAGCUAAAAAAAUAACAAAUAUUUACAUAUCUUUUGUAUAAUUAAGAUAUUCGUAUCAAUGCAUUUUUAGCAUUUUAUCAAUAAUUUCGAUUUUAGACCCCUUAACCUAACGUUACCCCCCCCAAACCUAAACCUACCCAUUUUACAGCGAAUAUGCAUUUUAUCAUUUUAUUAAUAAGCAAUUUAGAUUUUUAGACCCCUUAACCUACCCCCAAACUUAACCUACCCAUUUUAUAGCGAAUAAAAAAAGAUACAAAAUGCAAUUGAAUGAAAUGUAAUCCAAAUGACCAUACAUUGCAGCCGCAGUCACCUCUAGUGAAAUUCAAUAGGUUUGUGUAAGGUGCAGAGCAGAAUUUGUUGUUAAUCGCUGAAAAUAUUAAGAUAUUAUAUACAUUUUGAACAUUUUUUUUUGGUGUUUCCGGACAUUCCAGCAAAACAAGGGAGCGCUCCAACCCUUCCAGUCACCAAUCAAGCCAUGGAAAUGAUAGGAGGCACUCCACUUCACAUUUUCAAUCACCUUUGGAUUCAUCUCCUGAGUGUUCUUCUUCUAGAUCUGAAACAUCAAGGGCUCCAACUGGUGACAGCAUGGAUGUAUUUCCAAUGCCUAUGUCCAGUAAGUAUUUACUUUUUCUUGUAUAUUUGCAGUGUUUUUCAGUUCUGGUAUUGAGGACCACUUACUAUUAAGAAAGAAGUAGUCAUUUUUUAAAUAUAUAUCUGUAAUAAAAUCUUGAUGCCUUUUUAAAUGUAAUUAUUU